AUGGAUCCAAAUGGUUCUUUGACCAAGGAUAGAGGAUGUUUCACAAGUGACGAGGACUACAUUUCGUAUGUUUCCCCGUUGCAUGAAGCGCUUAGAGGUACAACCGCGAUGCCAACGUUGGAAGAGUUCCAGAAGAUGAACCCAAUGCCAAUUUCAACUCCUUAUAUGAAUAGUGUGUCCAUCAACCCAGAGCCCGAAGAGUCCAUGUUUCCGUUCGAUGAACACUCUAUGAAUGGACUUGCGCGUCUUCCACCAGCACUCCCGUCCAGCUCCGUUCUUGUUGCACCACCGGAUAGCGCAAGUCCGUUCAAGGACAACUUCACUGUUAGUCCUUUCGUGGACAACUUCACGAUCUUUACCAUGGAGACCCAUUCUGCGAUCCAAGGAAGUACGCUUGCCAUCAUGGAUGCCAACCUUAACUCUAGUGGAGUUUUCAAUAUUUCUCCGGUCUUCGAGUAUUCUGAAUUGCUAGUCUCCAAGGAUCAGAAACCAUAUACAAUCCUAGGGCCAUCAUCAUAUGAAGAACUUUGUGGGGUCCUACCACUUGUCAACCAGACACCUUGUACAGUCCCAGAAUCUAACAGUGGGCGAAUGGCGAUGCACCAAACAAUGAUGGGUGGCCUAAGUGUUAUGUUUCAACAAAAUCCUGCACCCUGUACCAUCUCAACAGCGGCUCGACUAAGAUUGGAUGAGUACACAUUAUUCUCCGGACACUUAAAGGCAGGAGGACAACACAAGGCACUCAUGAAUCUUGACCCAGACUGA
Molecule: ribosomal RNA, 765 nt
Filed under: Triticum aestivum (bread wheat)
Lineage: Eukaryota; Viridiplantae; Streptophyta; Magnoliopsida; Poales; Poaceae
Description: partial small subunit ribosomal RNA
Source: RNAcentral